UACGUAGGGGGCAAGCGUUAUCCGGAUUCACUGGGUGUAAAGGGAGCGUAGACGGCAUUGGAAGCCAGAUGUGAAAAUCCGGGGCUCAACCCCGGACCUGCAUUUGGAACUCCAAAGCUAGAGUUCCGGGUGGGCAGGCGGAAUUCCUGGUGUAGCGGUGAAAUGCGUAGAUAUCAGGAGGAACACCGGUGGCGAAGGCGGCCUGCUGGACGGUAACUGACGUUGAGGCUCGAAAGCGUGGGGAGCAAAC
Molecule: ribosomal RNA, 250 nt
Filed under: uncultured prokaryote
Description: partial 16S ribosomal RNA
Rfam family: Bacterial small subunit ribosomal RNA
Source: RNAcentral